GACGAACGCUGGCGGCGUGCUUAACACAUGCAAGUCGAACGGAAAGGCCCUGCUUUUGUGGGGUGCUCGAGUGGCGAACGGGUGAGUAACACGUGAGUAACCUGCCCUUGACUUUGGGAUAACUUCAGGAAACUGGGGCUAAUACCGGAUAGGAGCUCCUGCUGCAUGGUGGGGGUUGGAAAGUUUCGGCGGUUGGGGAUGGACUCGCGGCUUAUCAGCUUGUUGGUGGGGUAGUGGCUUACCAAGGCUUUGACGGGUAGCCGGCCUGAGAGGGUGACCGGCCACAUUGGGACUGAGAUACGGCCCAGACUGCUACGGGAGGCAGCAGUGGGGAAUAUUGCACAAUGGGCGGAAGCCUGAUGCAGCAACGCCGCGUGCGGGAUGACGGCCUUCGGGUUGUAAACCGCUUUCGCCUGUGACGAAGCGUGAGUGACGGUAAUGGGUAAAGAAGCACCGGCUAACUACGU
RNAcentral lists this ribosomal RNA (467 nucleotides) under uncultured bacterium. Its description in RNAcentral is "partial 16S ribosomal RNA". It matches the Rfam family "Bacterial small subunit ribosomal RNA", at positions 28 to 506 of the family's 1533-position model. The record is from RNAcentral.